UGAAUACGAGACGCUACGGCGUCGAAGCAGUCUAUGUCAUACUUCCAAGAAAAGCUUGCACUGUCAUAAACAAAUAAUGCCUGUACCAUAACCGACACAGGUGGGUAGGUAGAGUAUACUAAGGGGCGCGAGAUAACUCUCUCUAAGGAACUCGGCAAAAUGACUCCGUAACUUCGGGAGAAGGAGUGCCUUAUUUAUAAGGUUGCAAUAACAAGAUCCAAGCAACUGUUUAUCAAAAACACAGGUCUCCGCUAAGUCGUAAGACGAUGUAUGGGGGCUGACGCCUGCCCAGUGCCAGAAGGUUAAAGAAGUUGGUUAGCAUUAGCGAAGCUGAUAACUGAAGCCCUGGUGAACGGCGGCCGUAACAAUAACGGUCCUAAGGUAGCGAAAUUCCUUGUCGGGUAAGUUCCGACCCGCACGAAAGGCGUAAUGAUUUGGAUACUGUCUCGGAGAGGGGCUCGGUGAAAUAGACUUGUCUGUGAAGAUGCGGACUACCUGCACCUGGACAGAAAGACCCUAUGAAGCUUUACUGUAACCUGAAAUUGAAAUUGGACUUCAUUUGCGCAGUAUAGGUGGGAGGCGUUGAGAAUAUUCUUGCGGGAAUAUUGGAGCCAUCAGUGAGAUACCACUCUUGUAAUGUUAGAUUUCUAACUUUGAAUCAUUAUCUGGUCAAAGAACAGUUUCAGGCGGGCAGUUUGACUGGGGCGGUCGCCUCCUAAAUGGUAACGGAGGCGCACAAAGGUUUCCUCUGAACGGGUAGAAAUCGUAUCUAGAGUGUAAAGGCAUAAGGAAGCUUGACUGUGAGACCUACAAGUCGAGCAGGGACGAAAGUCGGUCUUAGUGAUCUGACGGUGCUGAGUGGAAAGGCCGUCACUCAACGGAUAAAAGUUACUCUAGGAUAACAGGCUGAUCUCCCCCAAGAGUUCACAUCGACGGGGAGGUUUGGCACCUCGAUGUCGGCUCAUCGCAUCCUGGGGCGGUAGUACGUCCCAAGGGUUGGGCUGUUCGCCCAUGAAAGCGGUACGCGAGCUGGGUUCAGAACGUCGUGAGACAGUUCGGUCCAUAUCCGGUGUAGGCGUUAGAAUAUUGAGAGGAGCCUUCUUUAGUACGAGAGGACCGAGAAGGACAUACCUCUGGUGUACCAGUUAUCGUGCCAACGGUAAACGCUGGGUAGCUAUGUAUGGAGAGGAUAACCGCUGAAAGCAUCUAAGUGGGAAGCCCACCUCAAGAUAAGUAUUC
Molecule: ribosomal RNA, 1239 nt
Filed under: metagenome
Description: bacterial LSU rRNA
Rfam family: Bacterial large subunit ribosomal RNA
Source: RNAcentral